RNAcentral lists this ribosomal RNA (1614 nucleotides) under uncultured Entoloma. Its description in RNAcentral is "eukaryotic LSU rRNA". The stretch from base 949 to 1614 matches the Rfam family "Eukaryotic large subunit ribosomal RNA", at positions 1 to 648 of the family's 3401-position model. The record is from RNAcentral. Lineage: Eukaryota; Fungi; Basidiomycota; Agaricomycetes; Agaricales; Entolomataceae.
UUUAGAGGAAGUAAAAGUCGUAACCAAGGUUUCCGUAGGUGAACCUGCGGAAGGAUCAUUAUUGAAUAAACUUGGUUGGGUUGCUGCUGGCUCUUAGGAGCAUGUGCACACUCACUCCAUUUUAACCACCUGUGCACAUACUGUAGACCUGAAUGAAACUUUUCGAGGUAACUCGGUUUGAGGACUGUUGUGAAAAUCAGCUGUUCUUGCAUUCCAGGUCUAUGUUUUUAAAAAUAUACUCCAUAACAAGUCAUAGAAUGUUAAUAAUGGGCCUUCUGUGCCUUUAAAUUAUAAUACAACUUUCAACAACGGAUCUCUUGGGCUCUCGCAUCGAUGAAGAACGCAGCGAAAUGCGAUAAGUAAUGUGANUNGCAGAAUUCAGUGAAUCAUCGAAUCUUUGAACGCACCUUGCGCUCCUUGGUAUUCCGAGGAGCAUGCCUGUUUGAGUGUCAUGAAAUUCUCAACCUCUCUGGCUUGUAUAAGCCAGUCAGGCUUGGAUUGUGGAAGUUGCUGGCUUCUUUAGAGACCGGCUCUUCUUAAAUGUAUUAGCAAAGUUCUUGCUGACCAUCUUUGGUAUGAUAAUUAUCUAUACCAUUGAGAGUCGGUGGUUCAGGCUCCGCUUGGGAUAUAUCAUAUAUCCAAAGUGUUCGCUCAACCUCUUUGAAGCACUAGCCUUGGCACAGGUGUUAACUCAUCUGAAUGGUGUUGAACACUUCAGGUUGACGAAGCGAGGCGUUCUUAGGAGCGCUCACGAGAGCAAGCAGCGUCAGAGCUCGUCUUCCAAGUUGGGAGGCUUGAUGCACUGAUGUGUGCACUGUCAUAUUCCUGUACCUACCCUAUGCCACUAUGUGGCUUUGAUGGGUCUGGUCAAACCAUGACCUGAACAUAUCCUUAGUGGGAGGAUCUUGCUUCUAAUCAUUGUUCUUAGGGACAAAUAUAUUGACAAUUUGACCUCAAAUCAGGUAGGACUACCCGCUGAACUUAAGCAUAUCAAUAAGCGGAGGAAAAGAAACUAACAAGGAUUCCCCUAGUAACUGCGAGUGAAGCGGGAAAAGCUCAAAUUUAAAAUCUGGUAGUCUUUGGCUGCCCGAGUUGUAAUCUAGAGAAGUGUUAUCCGCGCUGGACCGUGUACAAGUCUCCUGGAAUGGAGCGUCAUAGAGGGUGAGAAUCCCGUCUUUGACACGGACUGCCAGGGCUUUGUGAUGUGCUCUCAAAGAGUCGAGUUGUUUGGGAAUGCAGCUCUAAAUGGGUGGUAAAUUCCAUCUAAAGCUAAAUAUUGGCGAGAGACCGAUAGCGAACAAGUACCGUGAGGGAAAGAUGAAAAGAACUUUGGAAAGAGAGUUAAACAGUACGUGAAAUUGUUGAAAGGGAAACGCUUGAAGUCAGUCGCGUUGGCCGGGGAUCAACCUUGCUUUUCUGCUUGGUGUACUUCCUGGUUGAUGGGUCAGCAUCAAUUUUGACCAGUGGAAAAAGGUCAGGAGGAAUGUGGCAUCUUCGGAUGUGUUAUAGCCCUUGGUUGCAUACAUUGGUUGGGAUUGAGGAACUCAGCACGCCGCAAGGCCGGGUUUUUACCACGUUCGUGCUUAGGAUGCUGGCAUAAUGGCUUUAAUCGAC